Molecule: ribosomal RNA, 465 nt
Filed under: uncultured bacterium
Lineage: Bacteria
Description: partial 16S ribosomal RNA
Rfam family: Bacterial small subunit ribosomal RNA
Source: RNAcentral
GACGAACGCUGGCGGCGUGCUUAACACAUGCAAGUCGAACGGAAAGGCCCUGCUUGCAGGGUACUCGAGUGGCGAACGGGUGAGUAACACGUGGGUGAUCUGCCCUGCACUUCGGGGUAAGCCUGGGCAACUGGGUCUAAUACCGGAUAGGAGCCAUUUUUAGCGUGAUGGUUGGAAAGUUUUUUCGGUGUAGGAUGAGCUCGCGGCCUAUCAGCUUGUUGGUGGGGUAAUGGCCUACCAAGGCGGCGACGGGUAGCCGGCCUGCGAGGGUGGACGGCCACAUUGGGACUGAGGUACGGCCCAGACUCCUACGGGAGGCAGCAGGGGGGAAUAUUGCACAAUGGGCGCAAGCCUGAUGCAGCGACGCCGCGUGGGGGAUGACGGCCUUCGGGUUGUAAACUCCUUUCGCUAGGGACGAAGCUUUUUGUGACGGUACCUAGAUAAGAAGCACCGGCUAACUACGUG